GAGGGUAUAGUUCAGUGGUAGAGAACCUGAUUAGCAAGCAGGAGGUCCUGGGUUCAGUCCCCAGUACUGCCA
This 72-nucleotide transfer RNA is filed under the name Camelus bactrianus (Bactrian camel). It matches the Rfam family "tRNA". From Rfam's summary of the family: Transfer RNA (tRNA) molecules are approximately 80 nucleotides in length. Their secondary structure includes four short double-helical elements and three loops (D, anti-codon, and T loops). The record is from Rfam by way of RNAcentral. RNAcentral also lists the same sequence under 2 other names. Lineage: Eukaryota; Metazoa; Chordata; Mammalia; Artiodactyla; Camelidae.